Molecule: ribosomal RNA, 301 nt
Filed under: uncultured bacterium
Lineage: Bacteria
Description: partial 16S ribosomal RNA
Rfam family: Bacterial small subunit ribosomal RNA
Source: RNAcentral
CAGCCGCCGCGGUAAUACGAAGGGGGCUAGCGUUGCUCGGAAUCACUGGGCGUAAAGGGUGCGUAGGCGGGUCUUUAAGUCAGGGGUGAAAUCCUGGGGCUCAACUCCAGAACUGCCUUUGAUACUGAAGAUCUUGAGUUCGGGAGAGGUGAGUGGAACUGCGAGUGUAGAGGUGAAAUUCGUAGAUAUUCGCAAGAACACCAGUGGCGAAGGCGGCUCACUGGCCCGAUACUGACGCUGAGGCACGAAAGCGUGGGGAGCAAACAGGAUUAGAUACCCCUGUAGUCCCUGUCUCUUAUAC